CUUACCAGGUCCAGACACAGUUAGGAUUGACAGAUUGAUAGCUCUUUCUUGAUUCUGUGGGUGGUGGUGCAUGGCCGUUCUUAGUUGGUGGAGUGAUUUGUCUGGUUAAUUCCGAUAACGAACGAGACCUCAGCCUAUUAAUUAAAUAAAAAAAUAUAAGCAAUUAUAAGGGUUAAAUAAAAUUUAUUUAAUGCUUUUUUAAAGUAUUAAAUAAUUUUAUUUAAAACUUGUUUAUAUUUAUUUUUAUUUUCUUAAAGGGACACUUAGUGUUUAACCAAGGGAAGUUUGAGGCAAUAACAGGUCUGUGAUGCCCUUUAGAUGUUCUGGGCCGCACGCGCGCUACACUGAUAAAAUCAAUAAGUUUUUUUAAUUUAAUUCCUUGACCGAAAGGUUUGGGUAAACUUUGAAAAUUUUAUCGUGCUGGGGAUUGACAAUUGUAAUUAUUUGUCAUGAACGAGGAAUUCCUAGUAAACGUAAGUCAUCAGCUUACGUUGAUUACGUCCCUGCCCUUUGUACACACCGCCCGUC
Molecule: ribosomal RNA, 528 nt
Filed under: Korotnevella heteracantha
Lineage: Eukaryota; Discosea; Flabellinia; Dactylopodida; Paramoebidae
Description: bacterial SSU rRNA
Rfam family: Eukaryotic small subunit ribosomal RNA
Source: RNAcentral